RNAcentral lists this ribosomal RNA (491 nucleotides) under uncultured bacterium. Its description in RNAcentral is "partial 16S ribosomal RNA". It matches the Rfam family "Bacterial small subunit ribosomal RNA", at positions 28 to 507 of the family's 1533-position model. The record is from RNAcentral.
GAUGAACGCUGGCUACAGGCUUAACACAUGCAAGUCGAGGGGAAACGACGGGGAAGCUUGCUUCCCCGGGCGUCGACCGGCGCACGGGUGAGUAACGCGUAUCCAACCUUCCUCUGACUGAGGGAUAACCCGUCGAAAGUCGGCCUAAUACCUCAUGGCAUCGUCUGCGGGCAUCCAACGACGAUUAAAGAUUUCAUCGGUCAGAGAUGGGGAUGCGUCUGAUUAGCUUGUUGGCGGGGUAACGGCCCACCAAGGCGACGAUCAGUAGGGGUUCUGAGAGGAAGGUCCCCCACAUUGGAACUGAGACACGGUCCAAACUCCUACGGGAGGCAGCAGUGAGGAAUAUUGGUCAAUGGGCGAGAGCCUGAACCAGCCAAGUAGCGUGCAGGAUGACGGCCCUAUGGGUUGUAAACUGCUUUUAUGCGGGGAUAAAGUGAGGGACGUGUCCUUCAUUGCAGGUACCGCAUGAAUAAGGACCGGCUAAUUCCGUG